AUUACUGUUUUUUUAUGAAAUGUCGUGUACAAUAUUAGUCGUUACUUGGUAACUAUGGUGAUAAACAUCGUGAUGAAUAGAUAAAGUGGACUCGGGGGCAGAGCCCGACACCUCCACCAUAUUUAUAUGGGGGUGAAUAGAUUCGACACUUAUUGAAAAGCUCGAUUUUCACUCGUGGUGGUUUACGUUAUAGAGCCAGAAAUUAUAAAUGCGAACGAUAAUGUUUUCGCAUGCAACGAUAAUUAUGCAGUAGAGGCAAUUGCUUUAGCUGCUUAAUGAAGUAGACGCGGUUUGGGGGAUCCGGGCAACAGAAUUCCCCCGCU
This 323-nucleotide transfer-messenger RNA is filed under the name Holosporaceae bacterium. It matches the Rfam family "Alphaproteobacteria transfer-messenger RNA". From Rfam's summary of the family: Bacterial tmRNA, also known as 10Sa RNA or SsrA, is named for its dual tRNA and mRNA-like properties. Lineage: Bacteria; Pseudomonadati; Pseudomonadota; Alphaproteobacteria; Holosporales; Holosporaceae. The record is from RNAcentral.